UUGCCUUUAGCUCAAAGUAUUAAAGGUAACGCCUGCCCAGUGAUAAUUAAACGGCCGCGGGAUCCUCCACCGUGCAAAGGUAGCAUAAUCACUUGUCCCCUAAAUAGUGACUAGUAUGAACGGCCAAAUGAAGAUUUUACUGUCUCUUAUAGUUGAUCUAUGAAACUAAUCUGUCAGUACAAAAACUGAUAUACUUACAUAAGACGAAAAGACCCUGUGGACCUUAAAGCACACCUCACCCAAUGAUAUACCUGCUUUUAGUUGGGGCAACUUUGGAACAAAACUAAACUUCCAAUUACCAAUCCAGAUAAACAUAUCUACACACCUAUUGACCCAGCAUUAGACUGAUCAAAGAACCAAGCUACCCCAGGGAUAACAGCGCCAUCCCCUCUUAGAGCCCAAAUCGACGAGUGGGGUUUACGACCUCGAUGUUGGAUCAGGGCCCCCAAACAGUGCAACCGCUGUUAAAGGUUUGUUUGUUCAACAAUUAAAGC
This 494-nucleotide ribosomal RNA is filed under the name Oreosaurus achlyens. Its description in RNAcentral is "partial 16S ribosomal RNA". It matches the Rfam family "Bacterial large subunit ribosomal RNA", at positions 1823 to 2594 of the family's 2925-position model. The record is from RNAcentral. Lineage: Eukaryota; Metazoa; Chordata; Lepidosauria; Squamata; Gymnophthalmidae.